GCUUAGGCGCUGGCCAGGGGAGUUUUGAGGGUAUAGCCGCUGGCCAAAAGCCCGGCCUGGACCUCAGGUCUGACAAGGACAAAAAGCUUGGAACCAAUUGCGUUUGAGAAAUGGCUUGGCAACAGCAUAGCUGCUGGCCAAGGAACCAUGCGAAGUAACCGACCAGCAGACAUUGUUGUUGUUGCUGGCACUGCAGCUGCUGGGGGUGGAACAACCGCUAGAGAGGAAGUAGGAAGGGAGAGAGAGGUAGCUACUGGAGAGAAGGUGUGCACCAGGCUGGAGGAGUCAGACAUGUUAGGGGGUGAGGAGGUUGCUGCUGGAGGAGGGAAUAGGCUGGACGCUGGCCAGGGGAUGACUUUGGGCGAGCAGCUGGCUGCUGGGGGCUUUGGCUCAGGGAUGGAUGGCUGUGUUGCCGCUGGAGGGGAGGAAUAGGCAGGAGAGGAGAGUUAGCUGCUGCUGCUGGGGGGUUGGUUGCUGGGGAGGAGGAGUCGGACAGGCAGGCUGAGGGGGUAGCCGCUGGCCAGGGAACUCGCCUGGGCAUAGGGCUGGCAGGCAAGGGAGUUGCCAGCUGCCCAGCUGCUGGUCAGGGAGCUCACCUAGGCAUAGGACGGUCUGCUGGGGGAAGUGUACAAGGUGGUGACUGCUGGUGGCGAAUUAGUGCCUAACCACGAGACAAGUGGGUGCAUGGCCUCCGGCCAAGGCGAGGCGGGCGAGCCUUACCAAGGCGGUGUAACUGCUGGCCAAGGGGCCGGUCUAAGCAUCAUCAUGCCGGACGAAGAUGACGACCCGGUGGGUCCCAUGCCGAACGAAAGGCACGACACCCGAGACCAAGAAACCACAACAAAAACUUCGGAAUCCGCAUUCAAGACGUUGAUGCAAAACAUUGCCCCACAGGUAAGAUUUAAAAAAUUAUAAAAAUGUAGGCGACAUUUUUACAUGUUUACUAGUUUGCGUUUUCUUAUAACAUGAAUGUCAUGUAUCUAUACUCUCUAUUAAAGUUGGACUUACCCCUAAGGAAAAUUUCUCUUUCCAAAUUAAAGAAAAUUUGGUGCUCCAAUUGAAGAGAAUUUAACAAAAAUUAAAAUUGAAAGGGUUAUUAUUGUAAAUUUAAAUCUAAUAUAGCUUAAAUAGCUAGAUGGCUACAUUUAAUAACACUAUGGCCAUAUCUGUCUUUUUGCACAAAUAUAUUAAUAGUUACCCAAUGAAUUUAAUGGAAAUAUGGUGUUAUAUAUAUAUACUUAUUAGCAAUAAAAUUUAAAAAUAUAAAAAUUAUAAUUUCGUACUUUACCAUCUUCCUUCCACUGACGUUCCUCAUACAUCAAAUUUAAUCUAUCAUCUCUUGCUUCUACAAAAUAGUGGUUGGAAAAAAGCACACACAACCUUCAUUACAAUAGAGUAAUAGAUUAUGUGAAUAUAUGCCCGAAAUAGUAAAAUAUUGUGCCUUUUAAUUUUUCUUUGAGUACAGGUGAGAAAUAAAAUUAUAUUGGCUUUAUAACCAUAUAACAUAGUUAUGUUGCCUAAUUAUACCAUGAUUUUCAGGAUUACUUUAAUCUUAUUUAUCAAUUAUACUCAAAACAUGAAUAUUUGAAAAGCUGGCCUUCGGCCAACAGUUAGCCCAGGAUAUAAAUUUAAUAGUGUUUUUCGAAAUAAUAUAUAUUCUAGACAUAACAAAAGCGCAACCCAAUAACUUGACAAUGAUGUUUUUUUUUUUAUUAUUUCAAUGCAAAUUCAAAUCUAAGAAUUAUAAAAAGUUAGAGGACAAGUGCGCUACAUACUGCGCUGCAAACCCUUUUAUUAUUAUUAUUUUGCAAAAGGCAUUAUUUAGGGGUUACACCUAGAUAUAAAUUUUGACAUUUUUUUUCCUAAUUUUGUCGUGAAAGUAGGGACUGGGAGAAACAGAAGAUAUAAUUAUAUUUAUGUCCCACCAUUUUUUUUUAACUAAAACUAAAAAUCGAAGUCCAACAAAUUUUUUUGAUUAGCCAGCAGGUGGGCUUUCAUUGUAGUUUACUAGAUGCCUCUUUAAACUUUCAUUGUAGCUUACUACAUGCCUCUUAAAACUAAGUAUAGAUUUGUUUAAAUGAAAUAUUUAUUAUAACAAAUAUAUUCUUAGUAUAAAUUUGUCGAUUUGCAUGUGGCUCAAAGGUAGCCUCCCACAAAGUCGAGAUAUGAUGUUGUGGGUUCGAACCACGUCAGCAACUGAUUGUUUGAUUAAAAGUUUUUCCUUAACCUCGCUUACCAAUAAUAAUAAUAAAAAAAACUAUGAUACUUACUAUAUAUAUAUAUAAUAAGUUUCAAUAAGCACUGUAUAGUUUGUAAUCCAACAUUUUAUCAUAUGCUUCCACUUCAUCUUUUCAAUAAAUUUUUUGGGUGCAUUAGUUGUGAAAGGUUACUUUACUACUGCAAGUUACUAUAUUUCUUUCUUGCUAAAUUUAUUUUAUAUUCAAAACUUAAGCCUAAAUACCAAACAAAAAAUGAAUCAAAUCAUAUGAUUAGUCUAAUUCAUGGUUUGAAUAUUCAUAAGAUUAAUCAUACCAUUGUUUAUUGUCACAUUGAAGUAAAAAUAUAAUAAAAAAUUCAAUAAUUGCUAGAUAUUAUAUAUAAAAAUUAAUGAUAAACCAUUUUAAAAAUUGUAAUCAACCAUAUUUACGAAAAAAUAAAAUAAAAUUGGUGGUAUAAUAAAAUCAUAAAGCCAAUGACAUACAUUAAGUCAUUAACAAAAUAUUUUCAAUAAACUACACCUAAUGACGUAAGUUACAUUAUUUAAUAACAUCCGUGCAUCGCACGGGCCUUAUAACUAGUUUAAUGAUUGUAGGUAGACCGUUUGGUCGACCAAAUUGUUGGUAGUCAUGAGAAAGAGAUGGAUGAGCUUCGAGCCCGAGUUGCGACACUUGAAGUCGAGAAUGUACAAUUGAAGGGGAAAAGGAUGAAAUGAGAAUGGAAACAUUUGAAGGUUGGAAAGAAGUAGAAAAGAUGCAAUCGAAGAUCGAGAAGGCACAAGCGGAGAAGGAUAAAGCAAUAAAAGAUAGGGAAACGUUGAGGGAAGAAGUAAGGAAGUUGAACAAGGAUAUGGAAACAAUCGAAGCCGAAUGUGCAAUGACGCGCACACGUUGUUAUCAAUGGAAGGAAGCAUAUGACAAAGUAAAGAUUUUGCAAAUCCGGGCGGAGGAAGAGAAAAACAAAGCAGAGCUUAAGGUAAGUAAGACUAAAAAACCUUACAUGGAGCAAUGGUAGAGGCAAGGAGAGUUACCAAGAAUUACGACAUUUUGUACAACAUAUGUCGAACCCAAGGACUCAAAGGCCUUAAAAAGGUUCCACUUCCGCUUGCACCUCUAAUAGCCAAAGCGACGGCCGAGAGAUCUCUACCUCCACCUCAUCCACCUAUGUAGAAGGAGUACAAGAAAUGAAUUUCAAAGAUCAAAUAUUGAUGAUAUUUUGUUGAGAUUGAACCUUGAAUGUUGUUUAUUUUCUUGAAAUUUGAAUAUUGAGUAAUUGAAAGUGACCAUAUUGCAAAUAUGUCCAUGAAUGUGAUGAAUAUUGCUAAUAUAUUGAUUAUUGAUAUGGAAUUUUGAUAGUGGUAGUGGAAAGUAGUGAUAUUAAAUCGUGAGUGUAAAAUGUUGAAUAUUGAUAUUGAAUCUUGAUUGUAAA
This 3645-nucleotide long non-coding RNA is filed under the name Aquilegia coerulea. RNAcentral's name for it is "long non-coding RNA (ACOE_LNC000482)". Lineage: Eukaryota; Viridiplantae; Streptophyta; Magnoliopsida; Ranunculales; Ranunculaceae. The record is from RNAcentral.